Sander lucioperca (pikeperch) is the source of this 211-nucleotide long non-coding RNA. RefSeq lists it as uncharacterized. The transcript has 2 exons. Lineage: Eukaryota; Metazoa; Chordata; Actinopteri; Perciformes; Percidae. The record is from RefSeq and is a predicted model, not a curated record.
GGCUUUUGUUUCCACCCUAAUUACCUGAUUGAGUUCACCUGGUCACUCCUUAUUUAAAGACUGCCCUCCCUCCCAGUCAGUGUUUUCUACACCUUCACAUGGGGCGGCAGCUGAUCCUCCAACCCAUGUGUGUCUGUCCUGUUCUGUUAUGUUAUCCAUUAUCAUUUGCCUCACCACGUUUGUUGAAUAAAUCUUCAUUGAAUGGACUGAA